UGAUGAAGGUGCUCUCAAGUUUUUCAAAGAUAUCAAGUGGAGCAGGAUAGACAACCCAAAAGGAUUCAAGCUUGAAUUUUAUUUCGAUACUAAUCCUUAUUUCACAAACACUAUUUUGACAAAAAGCAUAUCACAUGAUUGAUGAGGAUGAGCCAAUAUUGGAAAAAGCAAUUGGGUGAAGACCCCUUCAAUGGAAAUAAUCAAAUCCAUCUCAGGCAUCAAGGUUCAAGUCUGUGAAAGAAACCACCAACCCGUUGAUGAGGUCACGGUGGCAGUGACUUUGGUGGAGCUGUCGGUUGAUGGUUCUAUUAUGGGUACUGUUGAAAUUAAGCUUCCUGAAGAAGGAGUAGGAGGCCUUGGUUCUAUUAUGGGAGAGGAACAAUAACUAUGACCUGGCUUUACUUACAUUUUAUUAUUGUUAAGACAUUGACCAAUUUGCAUUCGAUGUUGUGUGUUUACUUGAUUUAAUUAAAAACAAGAAGUAAACAAAGUUGAACAAAAAGAAAAGACUUGCAAUUUCCUCAACGAUAAACCUUCCCUUAAAGCACAUAAUAGUUAGCAAAUAACAGGGCAUUUUUCUUGCUUUUACUUUGACACACUAAUCCUUUUCCAGUGUCUCUCUUUUUCUCUUUACUUCCGCCGCCCCUCCCCUCUUACGAUUCCACAUAUAUGAUGUAGCUAUCUGUGUCAUUACAGGUUUGCCCUAAUCACAUGAAACUACAGAUUAAUGGAGAGAUUGUUGGAGAAAAAUCGCUGUCAUCAAAUAAGGAACGCAGUUCAAAUGAUUUGAGGAAAAUAGUUUUGGCAAAUAUUGGUGGAGAUGGAAAUAUUUCACACGGUUAUGUGUACAAUUUUCAAGUUUUCCCUUCUGUUUCAUCUAUUAAAGAUCACCAUAUGAAACAUGAAAGAGUAUGAAGAGAGGGCAGUAUCACUGGCUUUGAGUCGCCCAAAGCUUCAAGCUCUCACUAAUAAGCUUAAGUCUGUUCGCAUGACUUGCCCUUUAUUUGACACAGCUCGCUGGGUGAGGAAUCUUGAAAGAGGAUAUCUUAAAAUGUGGAAUCUACAUUGCUCUGGUCAACGUCCCCAACAUUUCAAGUUCACCGAAAAUGAACUUGAAUAUCCUUAUGAAUAGGUGUUAGACGAGAAUGUAUAUAAGAAAAUCAAGAAAAAGUAGACCGAUCUUGUACUUGCUAUGUUGAUGAAUCUGAGUGUAAUUCUGUUAUAGCAAUCACGAACAUAUCUAUUUUGCUAGAAAUCAUGGAUGAGUAAUUUAAUGUGUU
Arachis duranensis is the source of this 1280-nucleotide RNA transcript. It is a transcript of the gene named probable UDP-N-acetylglucosamine--peptide N-acetylglucosaminyltransferase SEC, with no coding region annotated. The record is from RefSeq and is a predicted model, not a curated record. The transcript is spliced from 5 exons. NCBI's taxonomy places the organism in Eukaryota, Viridiplantae, Streptophyta, Magnoliopsida, Fabales, Fabaceae.